RNAcentral lists this ribosomal RNA (241 nucleotides) under uncultured bacterium. RNAcentral describes it as "partial 16S ribosomal RNA". It matches the Rfam family "Bacterial small subunit ribosomal RNA", at positions 91 to 334 of the family's 1533-position model. The record is from RNAcentral.
CGGAGUGCGGACCGGGUGAGUAAUGUCUGGGAAACUGCCCGAUGGAGGGGAUAACUACUGGAAAACGGUAGCUAAUACCGCAUAACGUCGCAAGACCAAAGAGGGGGACCUUCGGGCCUCUUGCCAUCGGAUGUGCCCAGAUGGGAUUAGCUAGUAGGUGGGGUAACGGCUCACCUAGGCGACGAUCCCCAGCUGGUCUGAGAGGAUGACCAGCCACACUGGAACUGAGACACGGUCCCAG